RNAcentral lists this unclassified non-coding RNA (385 nucleotides) under soil metagenome. RNAcentral's name for it is "partial contains 5.8S ribosomal RNA, internal transcribed spacer 2, and large subunit ribosomal RNA". The stretch from base 1 to 120 matches the Rfam family "5.8S ribosomal RNA", at positions 35 to 154 of the family's 154-position model. The record is from RNAcentral.
GAUGAAGAACGCAGUGAAAUGCGAUAAGUAAUGUGAAUUGCAGAAUUCAGUGAAUCAUCGAAUCUUUGAACGCACCUUGCGCUCCUUGGUAUUCCGAGGAGCAUGCCUGUUUGAGUGUCAUUAAAUUCUCAACCUCAUCAGUUUUGUUAUGAAGCUGUGUGAGGCUUGGAUGUGGGGGUUUGUGCAGGCUGCCUCAGUGCGAUCUGCUCCCCUGAAAUGUAUUAGCGAGUUCCAACUGGGCUCCGUCUAUUGGUGUGAUAAUUAUCUACGCCGUGGAUUGGGCUUAGACUUGCUUCUAACCGUCCGCAAGGACAAUCUUUUGACAAUUUGACCUCAAAUCAGGUAGGACUACCCGAUGAACUUAAGCAUAUCAAUAAGCGGAGGA